GUGAGUCAUCGAAUCUUUGAACGCACCUUGCGCUCCUUGGUAUUCCGAGGAGCAUGCCUGUUUGAGUGUCAGUUAAUUCUCAACCCCCUUCUGGUUUUUGCAACUGGACUGUGGAGGCUUGGAUGUGGAGGUUUGCGGGCCCCUCUAAUGGGUGUCAGCUCUUCUCAAAUACAUUAGCGGAACUGUUUGCAAUCCGUCACUGGUGUGAUAAUUAUCAACGCCAAUGGGUUGCUCUGUCUGUUCUGCUUCCAACAGUCCCCUUUGAUUGGGACAGCAGAUUGAACCUUUGACCUCAAAUCAGGUAGGACUACCCGCUGAACUUAAGCAUAUCAAUAAGCGGAGGA
Molecule: unclassified non-coding RNA, 344 nt
Filed under: Leucocoprinus sp.
Lineage: Eukaryota; Fungi; Basidiomycota; Agaricomycetes; Agaricales; Agaricaceae
Description: partial contains 5.8S ribosomal RNA, internal transcribed spacer 2, and large subunit ribosomal RNA
Rfam family: 5.8S ribosomal RNA (bases 1-71)
Source: RNAcentral